This 460-nucleotide ribosomal RNA is filed under the name uncultured bacterium. RNAcentral describes it as "partial 16S ribosomal RNA". It matches the Rfam family "Bacterial small subunit ribosomal RNA", at positions 338 to 795 of the family's 1533-position model. The record is from RNAcentral.
CCUACGGGUGGCAGCAGUGAGGAAUAUUGGUCAAUGGACGCAAGUCUGAACCAGCCAUGCCGCGUGCAGGAAGACGGCUCUAUGAGUUGUAAACUCCUUUUGUACGGGGGUAAAAGCAGAUACGCCUAUCUGUCUGACAGUCUCCUAACAACAAGGAUCGGCUAACUCCGUGCCAGCAGCCGCGGUAAUACGGAGGAUUCAAGCGUUAUACGGAUUUAUUGGGUUUAAAGGGUGCGUAGGCGGUCGGAUAAGUUAGAGGUGAAAUCCCGGGGCUCAACUUCUGUAUUGCCUCUGAUACUGUACGGCUAGAGAGCAGUAGCGGUAGGCGGAAUGUAUGGUGUAGCGGUGAAAUGCUUAGAGAUCAGGCAGAACACCGGUGGCGAAGGCGGCUUACCGAGCUACUUCUGACGUUGAGGCACGAAAGCGUGGGGAGCAAACAGGAUUAGAUACCCUGGUAGUC